Molecule: long non-coding RNA, 218 nt
Filed under: Erythranthe guttata (spotted monkey flower)
Lineage: Eukaryota; Viridiplantae; Streptophyta; Magnoliopsida; Lamiales; Phrymaceae
Description: long non-coding RNA (EGUT_LNC000955)
Source: RNAcentral
GCUCAGCCCUCAAUCUCCGAGUCCUCGUCCAAGAUCCAAGUGGGGCCUCCAAACACUAACAGCAGCCACACACACGCACACACACAGUGUAUUCCAACGAAAAAAAAAAAACGAAACCCAAAUUCAAACCCUAAUCUCACCGAUUUAUCCCUAAAGAAGUAAGCUCGAAUUCAUCGAAAAGAAUCGAGCUUUGCUUCUCAAAAAAGGUUUCUCUCUUU